This 253-nucleotide ribosomal RNA is filed under the name uncultured bacterium. RNAcentral describes it as "partial 16S ribosomal RNA". It matches the Rfam family "Bacterial small subunit ribosomal RNA", at positions 524 to 776 of the family's 1533-position model. The record is from RNAcentral.
UACGUAGGGUCCGAGCGUUGUCCGGAAUUACUGGGCGUAAAGCGUGCGCAGGCGGUUAUGUAAGACAGGUGUGAAAUCCCCGGGCUUAACCUGGGAACUGCAUUUGUGACUGCAUAGCUAGAGUACGGUAGAGGGGGAUGGAAUUCCGCGUGUAGCAGUGAAAUGCGUAGAUAUGCGGAGGAACACCGAUGGCGAAGGCAAUCCCCUGGACCUGUACUGACGCUCAUGCACGAAAGCGUGGGGAGCAAACAGG